This 716-nucleotide long non-coding RNA is filed under the name Callithrix jacchus (white-tufted-ear marmoset). RNAcentral's name for it is "lncRNA (ENSCJAG00000087394.1)". Lineage: Eukaryota; Metazoa; Chordata; Mammalia; Primates; Cebidae. The record is from RNAcentral.
UAUACACUUUGGAGUUGAUAUACACUUUGGGGUUUAAUGUACUCAAUAAUCAAUUUCAGAUCAAAAUCAGUUAAGUCCUAAAAUCAGUUCGGACUCUAAUCUUUACUCUCCACCAGGGGUUACAAGAAGACCCUCAAAGGGAAUGGUAUUGAGAGAAUGGAGGCAUGAAGGUAGGAACAGUGCUGUCUUGAUGGAAUACCAAUCUGUUCUCCUAAGUGAAGUGGAAUGGAAUGGCCACUGACCCCAGGAAUCCAUAGGUUUAAUGGUUAAGAUGAAUGAAUUAAAAUAACAAAAACCUUAGGAACAAUGUUGGUAUAAAUUAGUAUUGCUUUUUCUCUACUCUGAUGUUUCCUUUUAUGUUGAUGAAGCUUCAUGAGCAUAAUGCUCCAGGUUUCUCUCCUCCCUCUUUCUCAUUCCCCCCAGUGGAGGCAGAGUGACGUCUGACUGGGGAUAGCGGAGGGAAAGAACAUGAAUAGACCAAUCCCUUGCUCUUUCUUCUCUGUUGUGAAUGAACUUCCUGAAGGAUGUACACGCUCUCAGUGCUGAAUGUACUAUUUCAGCACUGUCUCUGCCCGGGGAGGUUGAAAACACAAUUAACUUCUGGCUCUUCGGGGAAAGCAGAUAAAUAAGUUAGAUAACCUUUGCUCCUCCUUCACCUUCCACGAUGAUUGUGAGACCUCCCCAGCCAUGCGGAACUGUGAGUCCAUUAAACCUCU